This 192-nucleotide small nuclear RNA is filed under the name Pollicipes pollicipes. RNAcentral's name for it is "U2 spliceosomal RNA". It matches the Rfam family "U2 spliceosomal RNA". Rfam says of the family: U2 is a small nuclear RNA (snRNA) component of the spliceosome (involved in pre-mRNA splicing). Complementary binding between U2 snRNA (in an area lying towards the 5' end but 3' to hairpin I) and the branchpoint sequence (BPS) of the intron results the bulging out of an unpaired adenosine, on the BPS, which initiates a nucleophilic attack at the intronic 5' splice site, thus starting the first of two transesterification reactions that mediate splicing. Lineage: Eukaryota; Metazoa; Arthropoda; Thecostraca; Pollicipedomorpha; Pollicipedidae. The record is from RNAcentral.
AACCCUUGUAAUCAAACAUGUACUAUGGAAAUAAAAAAUCUGUUCUUAUCAGCUUAAUAUCUGAUACGUCCCCUACAUGGGGACCAGAAUAUUAAACUGAUUUUUGAACAUUGGCGGGGUUACUGGAGCUUGCUCCUGCCCUGCCGCGGGUUGGCCUGGCAUUGCACUACAGCCAGGAUCGGCCCAUUUUAU